RNAcentral lists this ribosomal RNA (327 nucleotides) under uncultured eukaryote. RNAcentral describes it as "partial 18S ribosomal RNA". It matches the Rfam family "Eukaryotic small subunit ribosomal RNA", at positions 1470 to 1796 of the family's 1831-position model. The record is from RNAcentral.
CCCUUAGAUGUUCUGGGCUGCACGCGCGCUACACUGAAGGAGGCAGCGUGUACUCCUGGAUCGAAAGAUUUGGGUAACCCGCGAAUCUCCUUCGUGCUAGGGAUUGAGGUUUGCAAUUAUCCUUCAUGAACGAGGAAUUCCCAGUAAGUGCAAGUCAUAAGCUUGCGCUGACUACGUCCCUGCCCUUUGUACACACCGCCCGUCGCUACUACCGAUUGAAUGAUUUAGUGAGGACUUCGGACUGGGACCGAUGCGGCUUUCGGGCUGCGUCGGUAUUCUGGAAAGAUGUCCAAACUGUAUCAUUUAGAGGAAGUAAAANUCGUANCA